CCUACGGGAGGCAGCAGUGGGGAAGAGUGCACAAUGGGGGAAACCCUGAUGCAGCGACGCCGCGUGAGUGAAGAAGGAUUUCGGUAUGUAAAGCUCUAACAGCAGGGAAGAAAAUGACGGUACCUGAGUAAGAAGCCCCGGCUAACUACGUGCCAGCAGCCGCGGUAAUACGUAGGGGGCAAGCGUUAGCCGGAUUUACUGGGUGUCAAGGGAGCGUAGACGGCAGCACACGGCUGGAGUGAAAUGCCGGGGCUUAACCCCGGAACUGCUUGGGAAACGGUGCAGCUAGAGUGCAGGAGCGGUCAGUGGAAUUCCUAGUGUAGCGGUGCACUGCGUAGCUAUUAGGAGGAACCCCAGUGGC
Molecule: ribosomal RNA, 361 nt
Filed under: uncultured bacterium
Lineage: Bacteria
Description: partial 16S ribosomal RNA
Rfam family: Bacterial small subunit ribosomal RNA
Source: RNAcentral